AAACCCGUCGAUCCAGCCAUGCCGCGUGAGUGAAGAAGGCCCUACGGGUGUAAGCUCUUCGACGGGGACGAUGAUGACGGUACCCGUAGAAGAAGCCCCGGCUAACUUCGUGCCAGCAGCCGCGGUAAUACGAAGGGGGCAAGCGUUGUUCGGAUUUACUGGGCGUAAAGGGCGCGUAGGCGGAUUUGCAAGUCAGAGGUGAAAGCCCUGGGCUCAACCCGGGAAUGGCCUUUGAGACUGCAAGUCUUGAGUGCGAGAGAGGGUGGCGGAAUACCCAGUGUAGAGGUGAAAUUCGUAGAUAUUGGGUAGAACACCAGUGGCGAAGGCGGCCACCUGGCUCGCAACUGACGCUGAGGCGCGAAAGCGUGGGGAGCAAACAGGAUUAGAUACCCUGGUAGUCCACGCCGUAAACGAUGUGUGCUAGCCGUUGGUGACCUUUUUGGUCGUCGGUGGCGCAGCUAACGCGAUAAGCACACCGCCUGGGGAGUACGGCCGCAAGGUUA
RNAcentral lists this ribosomal RNA (503 nucleotides) under uncultured Pseudomonadota bacterium. RNAcentral's name for it is "bacterial SSU rRNA". It matches the Rfam family "Bacterial small subunit ribosomal RNA", at positions 378 to 896 of the family's 1533-position model. Lineage: Bacteria; Pseudomonadati; Pseudomonadota. The record is from RNAcentral.